RNAcentral lists this transfer RNA (75 nucleotides) under Peptostreptococcaceae bacterium. RNAcentral describes it as "tRNA-Glu". It matches the Rfam family "tRNA". Rfam says of the family: Transfer RNA (tRNA) molecules are approximately 80 nucleotides in length. Lineage: Bacteria; Bacillati; Bacillota; Clostridia; Peptostreptococcales; Peptostreptococcaceae. The record is from RNAcentral.
GUCCCGUUGGUCAAGUGGUCAAGACAUCGCCCUCUCACGGCGGGGUCGGGGGUUCAAUUCCCCCACGGGGUACCA